GUGCUAACUCAUUUCUCUCUCUCUUGGCCUCUCCAUAGCACCAAUGGAUGUAUGUGCUCUAAGAGAGAUGAAUGGAUGACCACAUUGCCACCUGAGAAAAGCAGGAGUGCCAAUGCAUUCAACUACAUCAUUUAGUAUGAAUGGUAAAGAAGGACGUGGAGACACAGUGUCUGGACUGAUAGUCCUCUUGAUAGAGCGCAAAAGGCACAACAAAGCUAUCUAGAAGCCUACAAUAAAACAAAGGUGAUUGCAGAAGGAGAUGACGUAAAGAGCAGAAACCGAGAUGCUUCAAUGGUAGAUAAAUACAACACCUCCAAACGGUCAGUGUAUCUUGUGCAGAAGCACCGAGAGCAAAAAGGAGAAAAAGAAGCAAAAGCAAAACGAGAAAGAAGAAUGGGAGGGAAACCCCCCAUGGAAGCCAUGGGACCGUGAAAAGGAUCUGUCUGCUGUGCGGCAAAAGGUCAGCUUAGAUCCAGAGAACAUGUCACAAGGAUUGUCCUCCCGUUUUGCAUCUGGAGCUGUGCAGAGGAACUUCCUGUAAGCAAUCGGGAAAUAUAACCACUGCCGAAGCAUGGCCUAGUUGAUUACUAGUAUCAUGUUGCCCUUGGUGUCAGAUGCCAAAGAUAUUAGAGAGUAGACACUUAAAACCAUGGAAGUGCCAUGUGUUGGAAAUAAACACACCAUGGUUUAGAGCAGUGCGUGCGUGAGUUAGUUUGAUUGAGUCGGAGUCUGUUGGAGGAGCCGUGUGCGUGACGUUGAUCCGAGUGGAGGAGGCCGCGUCGU
Molecule: long non-coding RNA, 783 nt
Organism: Phragmites australis (common reed)
Lineage: Eukaryota; Viridiplantae; Streptophyta; Magnoliopsida; Poales; Poaceae
Exons: 3
Source: RefSeq, a predicted model, not a curated record